Oncorhynchus tshawytscha (Chinook salmon) is the source of this 939-nucleotide long non-coding RNA. RefSeq lists it as uncharacterized. Lineage: Eukaryota; Metazoa; Chordata; Actinopteri; Salmoniformes; Salmonidae. The record is from RefSeq and is a predicted model, not a curated record. The transcript is spliced from 2 exons.
UAUAUUAACAUGGUCCUACACUGGAGACAACCAGGUCCACUAACUACAGUAUAUUAACACGGUCCUACCCUGGAGACAACCAGGUCCACUAACUACAGUAUAUUAACACGGUCCUACACUGGAGACAACCAGGUCCACUAACUACAGUAUAUUAACAUGGUCCUACCCUGGAGACAACCAGGUCCACUAACUACAGUAUAUUAACACGGUCCUACACUGGAGACAACCAGGUCCACUAACUACAGUAUAUUAACACAGUCCUACACUGGAGACAACCAGGUUUACUAACUACAGUAUAUUAACAUUGUCCUACCCUGGAGACAACCAGGUCCACUAACACAGUCCUACCCUGGAGACAACCAGGUUUACUAACACUUCCUACCCUGGAGACAACCAGUCCACUAACUACAGUAUAUUAACACAGUCCUACCCUGGAGACAACCAGUCCACUAACUACAGUAUAUUAACACGGUCCUACCCUGGAGACAACCAGUCCACUAACUACAGUAUAUUAACAUGGUCCUACCCUGGAGACAACCAGUCCACUAACUACAGUAUAUUAACAUGGUCCUACCCUGGAGACAACCAGUCCACUAACUACAGUAUAUUAACAUGGUCCUACCCUGGAGACAACCAGUCCACUAACUACAGUAUAUUAACAUGGUCCUACCCUGGAGACAACCAGUCCACUAACUACAGUAUAUUAACAUGGUCCUACGCUGGAGACAACCAGUCCACUAACUACAGUAUAUUAACAUGGUCCUACGCUGGAGACAACCAGUCCACUAACUACAGUAUAUUAACAUGGUCCUACCCUGGAGACAACCAGUCCACUAACUACAGUAUAUUAACAUGGUCCUACCCUGGAGACAACCAGUCCACUAACUACAGUAUAUUAACAUGGUCCUACCCUGGAGACAACCAGUCCACUAACUACAG